This 24-nucleotide microRNA is filed under the name Solanum tuberosum (potato). RNAcentral describes it as "stu-miR7984c-5p". The record is from miRBase by way of RNAcentral. Lineage: Eukaryota; Viridiplantae; Streptophyta; Magnoliopsida; Solanales; Solanaceae.
ACGAUACCAAACUUUAUGAAGGAC